RNAcentral lists this ribosomal RNA (504 nucleotides) under uncultured bacterium. RNAcentral describes it as "partial 16S ribosomal RNA". It matches the Rfam family "Bacterial small subunit ribosomal RNA", at positions 30 to 523 of the family's 1533-position model. The record is from RNAcentral.
AUUGAACGCUGGCGGCGGGCUUAACACAUGCAAGUCGAGCGGAGCGAGGGUGCUUGCACCUUAGCUUAGCGGCGGACGGGUGAGUAAUGCUUAGGAACCUGCCUAUUAGUGGGGGACAACAUUCCGAAAGGAAUGCUAAUACCGCAUACGCCCUACGGGGGAAAGCAGGGGAUCUUCGGACCUUGCGCUAAUAGAUGAGCCUAAGUCGGAUUAGCUAGUUGGUGGGGUAAAGGCCUACCAAGGCGACGAUCUGUAGCGGGUCUGAGAGGAUGAUCCGCCACACUGGGACUGGGACACGGCCCAGACUCUUACGGGAGGCAGCAGUGGGGAAUAUUGGACAAUGGGCGGAAGCCUGAUCCAGCCAUGCCGCGUGUGUGAAGAAGGCCUUUUGGUUGUAAAGCACUUUAAGCGAGGAGGAGGCUACUUAGAUUAAUACUCUGGGAUAGUGGACGUUACUCGCAGAAUAAGCACCGGCUAACUCUGUGCCAGCCGCCGCCGCGGUAA